This 3013-nucleotide ribosomal RNA is filed under the name Salmonella enterica subsp. enterica serovar Typhimurium str. USDA-ARS-USMARC-1898. RNAcentral describes it as "bacterial LSU rRNA". It matches the Rfam family "Bacterial large subunit ribosomal RNA". Lineage: Bacteria; Pseudomonadati; Pseudomonadota; Gammaproteobacteria; Enterobacterales; Enterobacteriaceae. The record is from RNAcentral.
GGGUUGUGAGGUUAAGCGACUAAGCGUACACGGUGGAUGCCCUGGCAGUCAGAGGCGAUGAAGGGCGUGCUAAUCUGCGAUAAGCGCCGGUAAGGUGAUAUGAACCGUUAUAACCGGCGAUACCCGAAUGGGGAAACCCAGUGUGAUUCGUCACACUAUCAUUAACUGAAUCCAUAGGUUAAUGAGGCGAACCGGGGGAACUGAAACAUCUAAGUACCCCGAGGAAAAGAAAUCAACCGAGAUUCCCCCAGUAGCGGCGAGCGAACGGGGAGGAGCCCAGAGCCUGAAUCAGCAUGUGUGUUAGUGGAAGCGUCUGGAAAGGCGCGCGAUACAGGGUGACAGCCCCGUACACAAAAGCGCAUGUGCUGUGAGCUCGAUGAGUAGGGCGGGACACGUGGUAUCCUGUCUGAAUAUGGGGGGACCAUCCUCCAAGGCUAAAUACUCCUGACUGACCGAUAGUGAACCAGUACCGUGAGGGAAAGGCGAAAAGAACCCCGGCGAGGGGAGUGAAAAAGAACCUGAAACCGUGUACGUACAAGCAGUGGGAGCACAGGUUUACCUGUGUGACUGCGUACCUUUUGUAUAAUGGGUCAGCGACUUAUAUUCUGUAGCAAGGUUAACCGUAUAGGGGAGCCGGAGGGAAACCGAGUCUUAACCGGGCGUUAAGUUGCAGGGUAUAGACCCGAAACCCGGUGAUCUAGCCAUGGGCAGGUUGAAGGUUGGGUAACACUAACUGGAGGACCGAACCGACUAAUGUUGAAAAAUUAGCGGAUGACCUGUGGCUGGGGGUGAAAGGCCAAUCAAACCGGGAGAUAGCUGGUUCUCCCCGAAAGCUAUUUAGGUAGCGCCUCGUGAAUUCAUCUCCGGGGGUAGAGCACUGUUUCGGCUAGGGGGCCAUCCCGGCUUACCAACCCGAUGCAAACUGCGAAUACCGGAGAAUGUUAUCACGGGAGACACACGGCGGGUGCUAACGUCCGUCGUGAAGAGGGAAACAACCCAGACCGCCAGCUAAGGUCCCAAAGUCAUGGUUAAGUGGGAAACGAUGUGGGAAGGCCCAGACAGCCAGGAUGUUGGCUUAGAAGCAGCCAUCAUUUAAAGAAAGCGUAAUAGCUCACUGGUCGAGUCGGCCUGCGCGGAAGAUGUAACGGGGCUAAACCAUGCACCGAAGCUGCGGCAGCGAACGUAUCACCCAAGACAACUUUACGGAGUUGACGAUUGACGGAGCGAAGCGACGUCAAAGCGUUCAUUAAAGUCGAGUUGGCUUAGGGAUACGUUCGUUGGGUAGGGGAGCGUUCUGUAAGCCUGUGAAGGUGUGUCGUGAGGCAUGCUGGAGGUAUCAGAAGUGCGAAUGCUGACAUAAGUAACGAUAAAGCGGGUGAAAAGCCCGCUCGCCGGAAGACCAAGGGUUCCUGUCCAACGUUAAUCGGGGCAGGGUGAGUCGACCCCUAAGGCGAGGCCGAAAGGCGUAGUCGAUGGGAAACGGGUUAAUAUUCCCGUACUUGGUGUUACUGCGAAGGGGGGACGGAGAAGGCUAUGUUGGCCGGGCGACGGUUGUCCCGGUUUAAGCGUGUAGGUGUGUGUUCCAGGUAAAUCCGGUUCACUUUAACACUGAGGCGUGACGACGAGGCACUACGGUGCUGAAGCAACAAAUGCCCUGCUUCCAGGAAAAGCCUCUAAGCAUCAGGUAACACGAAAUCGUACCCCAAACCGACACAGGUGGUCAGGUAGAGAAUACCAAGGCGCUUGAGAGAACUCGGGUGAAGGAACUAGGCAAAAUGGUGCCGUAACUUCGGGAGAAGGCACGCUGACACGUAGGUGAAGUGAUUUACUCAUGGAGCUGAAGUCAGUCGAAGAUACCAGCUGGCUGCAACUGUUUAUUAAAAACACAGCACUGUGCAAACACGAAAGUGGACGUAUACGGUGUGACGCCUGCCCGGUGCCGGAAGGUUAAUUGAUGGGGUCAGCGUAAGCGAAGCUCCUGAUCGAAGCCCCGGUAAACGGCGGCCGUAACUAUAACGGUCCUAAGGUAGCGAAAUUCCUUGUCGGGUAAGUUCCGACCUGCACGAAUGGCGUAAUGAUGGCCAGGCUGUCUCCACCCGAGACUCAGUGAAAUUGAACUCGCUGUGAAGAUGCAGUGUACCCGCGGCAAGACGGAAAGACCCCGUGAACCUUUACUAUAGCUUGACACUGAACAUUGAGCCUUGAUGUGUAGGAUAGGUGGGAGGCUUUGAAGUGUGGACGCCAGUCUGCAUGGAGCCGACCUUGAAAUACCACCCUUUAAUGUUUGAUGUUCUAACGUGGACCCGUAAUCCGGGUUGCGGACAGUGUCUGGUGGGUAGUUUGACUGGGGCGGUCUCCUCCUAAAGAGUAACGGAGGAGCACGAAGGUUGGCUAAUCCUGGUCGGACAUCAGGAGGUUAGUGCAAUGGCAUAAGCCAGCUUGACUGCGAGCGUGACGGCGCGAGCAGGUGCGAAAGCAGGUCAUAGUGAUCCGGUGGUUCUGAAUGGAAGGGCCAUCGCUCAACGGAUAAAAGGUACUCCGGGGAUAACAGGCUGAUACCGCCCAAGAGUUCAUAUCGACGGCGGUGUUUGGCACCUCGAUGUCGGCUCAUCACAUCCUGGGGCUGAAGUAGGUCCCAAGGGUAUGGCUGUUCGCCAUUUAAAGUGGUACGCGAGCUGGGUUUAGAACGUCGUGAGACAGUUCGGUCCCUAUCUGCCGUGGGCGCUGGAGAACUGAGGGGGGCUGCUCCUAGUACGAGAGGACCGGAGUGGACGCAUCACUGGUGUUCGGGUUGUCAUGCCAAUGGCACUGCCCGGUAGCUAAAUGCGGAAGAGAUAAGUGCUGAAAGCAUCUAAGCACGAAACUUGCCCCGAGAUGAGUUCUCCCUGAGACUUAGAGUCUCCUGAAGGAACGUUGAAGACGACGACGUUGAUAGGCCGGGUGUGUAAGCGCAGCGAUGCGUUGAGCUAACCGGUACUAAUGAACCGUGAGGCUUAACCUUACAACGCCGAAG